This 72-nucleotide transfer RNA is filed under the name Bos taurus (domestic cattle). It matches the Rfam family "tRNA". From Rfam's summary of the family: Transfer RNA (tRNA) molecules are approximately 80 nucleotides in length. Lineage: Eukaryota; Metazoa; Chordata; Mammalia; Artiodactyla; Bovidae. The record is from Rfam by way of RNAcentral.
UCCCUGAUAGCUCAUUCAGUAAAGAAUCUGCCUGCAAUGCAGGAGACCCAGGUUCAAUUCCUGGAUUGGGAA